Molecule: ribosomal RNA, 371 nt
Filed under: Alloscorpiops citadelle
Lineage: Eukaryota; Metazoa; Arthropoda; Arachnida; Scorpiones; Euscorpiidae
Description: partial large subunit ribosomal RNA
Source: RNAcentral
AUCAUUUGUCUUCUAAUUAAAGACUGGAAUGAAUGGCUUGACUAAUUUUUGUUGUCUCAUUUUAAUAUUUUGAAUUUUAUGUUUUAGUAAAAAAGCUAAAAUUUAUUUUAAAGACGAGAAGACCCUAUCAAGCUUAAUAAUUAAUUUUUAUUUUCAAAAUAAAACCAAAAUUAUUUCACUGGGGCAGUGGAUAAAAUAAUUUUAUUUUAUUAUUGUGGGUUAUAAUCCUAGUUAAACCAAAAAAUUUUUAAAUAAAAAUGAGUUACUGUAGGGAUAACAGCAUAAUUUUUUUAAAGAGAUCUCAUCAUCAAAAAAGUUUGUGACCUCGAUGUUGGAUUAAGAAUCCUAAUUCACGCAAUAGUAAAAUAAGG